This 66-nucleotide transfer RNA is filed under the name Grylloblatta sculleni. RNAcentral describes it as "tRNA-Ala". It matches the Rfam family "tRNA". Rfam says of the family: Transfer RNA (tRNA) molecules are approximately 80 nucleotides in length. Their secondary structure includes four short double-helical elements and three loops (D, anti-codon, and T loops). Lineage: Eukaryota; Metazoa; Arthropoda; Insecta; Grylloblattodea; Grylloblattidae. The record is from RNAcentral.
AGGGCUGUAGUUAAAUAUAAUAUUUGGGUUGCAUUCAAAAGGUGUUGAUUAUAUCAACCUGUCUUU